AAUCCAUAGGUUAAUGAGGCGAACCGGGGGAACUGAAACAUCUAAGUACCCCGAGGAAAAGAAAUCAACCGAGAUUCCCCCAGUAGCGGCGAGCGAACGGGGAGGAGCCCAGAGCCUGAAUCAGCAUGUGUGUUAGUGGAAGCGUCUGGAAAGGCGCGCGAUACAGGGUGACAGCCCCGUACACAAAAGCGCAUGUGCUGUGAGCUCGAUGAGUAGGGCGGGACACGUGGUAUCCUGUCUGAAUAUGGGGGGACCAUCCUCCAAGGCUAAAUACUCCUGACUGACCGAUAGUGAACCAGUACCGUGAGGGAAAGGCGAAAAGAACCCCGGCGAGGGGAGUGAAAAAGAACCUGAAACCGUGUACGUACAAGCAGUGGGAGCCCCACCACCAAAGCAUUUGCUGUACCGCGUUGACGGAGCGAAGCGACGUCAAACCGAUAAAACAGCAGU
RNAcentral lists this ribosomal RNA (450 nucleotides) under Salmonella enterica subsp. enterica. Its description in RNAcentral is "partial 23S ribosomal RNA". It matches the Rfam family "Bacterial large subunit ribosomal RNA", at positions 161 to 584 of the family's 2925-position model. Lineage: Bacteria; Pseudomonadati; Pseudomonadota; Gammaproteobacteria; Enterobacterales; Enterobacteriaceae. The record is from RNAcentral. RNAcentral also lists the same sequence under 1 other name.